Molecule: ribosomal RNA, 1233 nt
Filed under: Erwinia mallotivora
Lineage: Bacteria; Pseudomonadati; Pseudomonadota; Gammaproteobacteria; Enterobacterales; Erwiniaceae
Description: bacterial SSU rRNA
Rfam family: Bacterial small subunit ribosomal RNA
Source: RNAcentral
UGGGGGACCUUCGGGCCUCACACCACCGGAUGUGCCCAGAUGGGAUUAGCUUGCUGGUGAGGUAAGAGCUCACCAGGGCGACGAUCCCUAGCUGGUCUGAGAGGAUGACCAGCCACACUGGAACUGAGACACGGUCCAGACUCCUACGGGAGGCAGCAGUGGGGAAUAUUGCACAAUGGGCGCAAGCCUGAUGCAGCCAUGCCGCGUGUAUGAAGAAGGCCUUCGGGUUGUAAAGUACUUUCAGCGGGGAGGAAGGUGUUGAAGUUAAUAGCUUCAUCAAUUGACGUUACCCGCAGAAGAAGCACCGGCUAACUCCGUGCCAGCAGCCGCGGUAAUACGGAGGGUGCGAGCGUUAAUCGGAAUUACUGGGCGUAAAGCGCACGCAGGCGGUCUGUUAAGUCAGAUGUGAAAUCCCCGGGCUUAACCCGGGAACUGCAUUUGAAACUGGCAGGCUGGAGUCUCGUAGAGGGGGGUAGAAUUCCAGGUGUAGCGGUGAAAUGCGUAGAGAUCUGGAGGAAUACCGGUGGCGAAGGCGGCCCCCUGGACGAAGACUGACGCUCAGGUGCGAAAGCGUGGGGAGCAAACAGGAUUAGAUACCCUGGUAGUCCACGCUGUAAACGAUGUCGAUUUGGAGGUUGUGCCCUUGAGGUGUGGCUUCCGAAGCUAACGCGUUAAAUCGACCGCCUGGGGAGUACGGCCGCAAGGUUAAAACUCAAAUGAAUUGACGGGGGCCCGCACAAGCGGUGGAGCAUGUGGUUUAAUUCGAUGCAACGCGAAGAACCUUACCUGGCCUUGACAUCCACGGAAGACUGCAGAGAUGCGGUUGUGCCUUCGGGAACCGUGAGACAGGUGCUGCAUGGCUGUCGUCAGCUCGUGUUGUGAAAUGUUGGGUUAAGUCCCGCAACGAGCGCAACCCUUAUCCUUUGUUGCCAGCACUUCGGGUGGGAACUCAAAGGAGACUGCCGGUGAUAAACCGGAGGAAGGUGAGGAUGACGUCAAGUCAUCAUGGCCCUUACGGCCAGGGCUACACACGUGCUACAAUGGCGCAUACAAAGAGAAGCGAGCCUGCGAGGGGAAGCGGACCUCAUAAAGUGCGUCGUAGUCCGGAUCGGAGUCUGCAACCCGACUCCGUGAAGUCGGAAUCGCUAGUAAUCGUGGAUCAGAAUGCCACGGUGAAUACGUUCCCGGGCCUUGUACACACCGCCCGUCACACCAUGGGAGUGGGUUGCAAAA